UCCGUUUGAUCCUGACGGAGCCGACUGCUAUCGGAUUAGGACUAAGUCAUGCAAGUCAAAGCAACUCGUUUGCUUGGCAAACUGCUUCUUAACACGUAGACAACCUACCUUAAGGUACGGCAUAUUCCCGGGAAACUGGGCGUAAUUCCGUAUAGAUAAUUAGUCCUGGAAUGGCUUCUUAUUAAAAGUUUUAUACGCCAUAGGAUGGGUCUGCGGCCGAUUAUGCUUGAUGGUGGUGUAAUGGACCACCAUGGCUAAGAUCGGUAGGGGCCAUGAGAGUGGUAGCCCCGAGAUGGCCACUGAGACAACGGGCCAGGCUCUAUGGAGUGCAGCAGGCGCGAAAACUGGACAAUUCACGAAAGUGAGAUCCGGCCAAUCCGAGUGAUCCCCCAUCGGGGAUCUUUUCUUAAGUAUGAAAAGCUUGAGGAAUAAUGAGAGGGCAAGUCUGGUGCCAGCCGCCGCGGUAAAACCAGCUCUUAGAGUGGUCGGCAUGAUUAUUUGGCUUAAAGGGAACGUAGCAGGGUAACAUAAGUCCUCAGUGAAAUCCUAGGUCCUAAGCUUAGGGCGUGCUGAGGAUACUGUGUACCUUGGGACCGGAAGAGGUGAACUGUACGUCUAGGGUAGGGGUGAAAUCCAAUAAUCCUAGACGGACGACCGGUGGCGAAGGCGGUUCACUAGGACGGGUCCGACUGUGAGGUUCGAAAGCCAGGGGCGCGAGCCGGAUUAGAUUCAGCCCAAAAGCAAAACUAACGCACGGGUGCAAAAGGGUAGAUAACCCAACUGCUAAAAACCCGGGUAGUCCUGUGCUGUAAACGAUGCCCGCUAAGUGUUAGGGGAACUUAGGGUUCUUCUAGUGCCGAAGCGAAAGCGUUAAGCGGGCCGCCUGGGGAGUACGGUCGCAAGACUGAAACUUAAAGGAAUUGGCGGGGGCCCACCACAAGGGGUGGAUCCUGCGGUUUAAUUGGACUCAACUCCGGGAAACUCACCUGGGCCGUGGCAUGUAUGAGAGCCCUGCUGAAGACACUGCUCGACGUGCCACCGGAGGUGCAUGGCCAUCGACAGUUCGUGCCGUGAGGUGUCCUGUUAAGUCAGGCAACGAACGAGAUCCCUACCCUUAAUUGCCAGCGAGAGCUUCACAGCUCGUCGGGGACAAUAAGGGGACUGCUCGCGAAAAAGUGAGAGGAAGGAAGGGCCAACGGUAGGUCAGUAUGCCCCUAUAUGCCCAGGGCUACACGCGGGAUACAAUGGCAAGUACAGAGGGUUCCUACACCGAAAGGUGACGGCAAUCUCCAAAACUUGUCUCAGUCGGAAUUGAGGGCUGCAACUCGCCCUCAUGAACUUGGAAUCCCUAGUAAGCGCGUGUCAUCAACGCGCGCUGAAUACGUCCCCGGGCCUUGCACACACCGCCCAUCGCAGCACGCGAGACGGGUUUGCCAGAGGUGACAGAAUCAUACUGUUAUCGAUGGUAAACUCGUUGAGCAGGCUGAAGUUGUAACAAGG
This 1500-nucleotide ribosomal RNA is filed under the name metagenome. Its description in RNAcentral is "bacterial SSU rRNA". It matches the Rfam family "Archaeal small subunit ribosomal RNA". The record is from RNAcentral.